Molecule: non-coding RNA, 1606 nt
Organism: Cricetulus griseus (Chinese hamster)
Lineage: Eukaryota; Metazoa; Chordata; Mammalia; Rodentia; Cricetidae
Source: RefSeq, a predicted model, not a curated record
UCCUGGUACUGUAGCCACUGAACCUUCAAUGUCCAAAAAUUCCAGCUGACUCAUCCGUGGGUGAACAAGGCCAAUUCAAGGGGAGGGUGGAACCUUGUGAGGCUAUCUCUGUUGAGGUCCCCAAUUCAAAGGGAGAGCAGGGCAUGGGGUGAUAGCCUGGAUGUGAGUCAUUUCUGUUUGAAUGGCAUUCAGGUGUCUUUUGAGACAUCAGCACGAGGUAACAGGUGAGGCAUGGCUAUGGAGUAGCUGCCUUGGCUCUGACCUCAGAUCCCUGGACCAGGCUCCAUCAUUACCACUCUUGUGGCUCCAUUAACUCUGGCAGUCUCAGACAUCCUGUGGAGAUGGUUGUGAGUAGUGGUUCCCAAGCAGUAGUAGAUGAAGCAAGAGUAUGCAAAUGAGCACUUUCCCUGACACACUGGAGCUACUUAGCAAUGAUGACCUGGAUUGGGAUGUCACCCCUUUGAUGCAAUGACGUGAGACCUGCUUCCGGGUGGGCAGGCGGCUGUGUAAUCAUAGCUCAUUUGGUCCCAUGAGACUAAAGGCUGCCAAAUUGCAUGGUGGUGGGAAGUCCCAGCCUGUUUUGGGAUUCAGAAUGGCAUUUCUCUUUGAAUUUCCCCAUCAGACCAGAGUAGGGCAGCCGAGCCUCCCGUGCACAGAGGGCUGUGACCACAGACAGGGAACAGGGCUAAAGGGAAAGGGCAGUGGCUUUUCUAGUGUUCACAAUUCCAGAUGGCUUUUCUAGUGUUCCUCCAGAUGGCUGAUAACCAGAUCCCUGCCAAGUUCCUCCUGCCCCUCCCCAGACUUGUACGAUGCCAAAGUGUUUCUCAAAAGGGGGAAAUACAGGCCUUUCAUCACUGCCUCCUCAUGGGUUCACAGGCCCCCAGCUUAGCCCUGCCUUCCAGUUGUCUUCCCAGGGAUACCUCAGGAUAUUUACUCCCAGCUCUGUCCUGGGACCAGGGCGGGAGCCUGAGGCAUGGAAACAGGAGAAGAUAUGGAUGGUGACACAAUAUUGGGACUCUCCUUUCCCUGCCUACAGAAGACACACAAGAGGCCAACACAAAGGGACAGGAGAUUCAGACGUAUCCUUCCUCAGCAGGCUAGCCCUGGGGCAAAGAGACCAACAGUCCUGAGUUCAAAUCCUCACCCUACCCCAGAUCUGGGGCUUGCCCUAUCUCUCAUUCUCUUAGGUAAAGUGACUGUGACAAUGGCCAUCUCUAGAGUUGUGUUAAGGAUUGAGAUGGCAAGUGUGCAGUGUGGUGUCGUGCAUUCACAAAAUUACAUUUUUAUUUUGUCCUCACAGACGAGGGCUUGUCUAACUUUGCUGAACUUGUCACCUUCCAGACAGAGAAACUGAAGCCCAGAGAUGGUUGGUGGGAAGAGAACUCAGAUGUUGUUUCCAUGUUUCCAUGCCUCAGCCACUGUACCAGAUGUGGAGAUUGAAGAUCAGAGGAAUGACAUGGUGUGUCCAGUUCACACAUUUAGCCUAACCGGCUGCGGGACCAGGUGGAACAGAAACUCCGACCACUCUCUCCAGAUCCCAAACUAGCCAUAUUUUAAGUGAUCACAAGUAGUGUGUUUGUUAAAUAAAGGGAAAGGUAAGGACUAU